GCAAUCCCCCUGUAAAUAUAACAGGUUGUUUCCUAGGGUCUAAAGAGCUGUCCCUCUUUAGACUAACAGUUAAACUUACAGGGUGAUUAAGUAAUUCUGUGGGUAAACUUUACUGUUAGUAUAC
Sapajus apella (tufted capuchin) is the source of this 124-nucleotide long non-coding RNA. RefSeq lists it as uncharacterized. The record is from RefSeq and is a predicted model, not a curated record. The transcript is spliced from 5 exons. NCBI's taxonomy places the organism in Eukaryota, Metazoa, Chordata, Mammalia, Primates, Cebidae.